Molecule: ribosomal RNA, 460 nt
Filed under: uncultured bacterium
Lineage: Bacteria
Description: partial 16S ribosomal RNA
Rfam family: Bacterial small subunit ribosomal RNA
Source: RNAcentral
CCUCCUUUCUUCCUCCUUGCGGCAUCUUGGUCAAUGGACGAGAGUCUGAACCAGCCAAGUAGCGUGAAGGAUGACUGCCCUAUGGGUUGUAAACUUCUUUUAUAUGGGAAUAAAAUGUUCCACGUGUGGGAUUUUGUAUGUACCAUAUGAAUAAGGAUCGGCUAACUCCGUGCCAGCAGCCGCGGUAAUACGGAGGAUCCGAGCGUUAUCCGGAUUUAUUGGGUUUAAAGGGAGCGUAGGUGGAUUGUUAAGUCAGUUGUGAAAGUUUGCGGCUCAACCGUAAAAUUGCAGUUGAAACUGGCAGUCUUGAGUACAGUAGAGGUGGGCGGAAUUCGUGGUGUAGCGGUGAAAUGCUUAGAUAUCACGAAGAACUCCGAUUGCGAAGGCAGUUCACUGGACUGCAACUGACACUGAGGCUCGAAAGUGUGGGUAUCAAACAGGAUUAGAUACCCGAGUAGUC